Suncus etruscus (white-toothed pygmy shrew) is the source of this 126-nucleotide small nucleolar RNA. RefSeq annotates it as small nucleolar RNA SNORA51. The transcript has a single exon. The record is from RefSeq and is a predicted model, not a curated record. NCBI's taxonomy places the organism in Eukaryota, Metazoa, Chordata, Mammalia, Eulipotyphla, Soricidae.
GGCCUUCCAGUGCUUACCACAGGCUAACUCUUAACAUUUACUGUAUAGAUAAAGGAGACAACCCACCCCGCAUAAAUCUCAUCCCCAGCCAUUUGGCUGGCCUGUAUUGUGAAUGAGAAGACAUGU